UACAGAGGUGGCAAGCGUUGUUCGGAAUUACUGGGCGUAAAGGGCGCGUAGGCGGCCUUCUAAGUCAGACGUGAAAUCCCCCGGCUUAACCUGGGAACUGCGUCUGAUACUGGGGGGCUUGAGUAUGGGAGAGGGAUGUAGAAUUCCAGGUGUAGCGGUGAAAUGCGUAGAUAUCUGGAGGAAUACCGGUGGCGAAGGCGGCAUCCUGGACCAUUACUGACGCUGAGGCGCGAAAGCUAGGGGAGCAAACGGG
Molecule: ribosomal RNA, 253 nt
Filed under: uncultured bacterium
Lineage: Bacteria
Also listed under: 1 other name
Description: partial 16S ribosomal RNA
Rfam family: Bacterial small subunit ribosomal RNA
Source: RNAcentral